CACACACACAUGAGGAGGCAAUGCCUACUACUCCCAGAUAUAUUAUAAGUAUCCUCUUAACUGUUGCCAUAUCUUCAUUGCUGUUCGAGCGAAGCAGACUCACAGAAUAUUUCUGAGACAGAAAGACUUCAAGCCAGUAUCAAAACCCAAUAACCAACCCCGGGUCUUCGACAGUGGUGAGUGGGAAAAAGACAUUCUCAAAACAAGGGGCCUAAUGUGAUUGUAGACAAAAGAGAAAUCCUCUGCUAAAAGCAGCUCAGGGGCCAGCUUUUGGUGUGAAAUUUGGUGAUAGAUUUAGUCUGCAACAUAGGGUGGCCACAAUGGGAUUUGAACUCAGUUCAUAAAGAACCACAUUACCUACUGGAAGGCAUCGUGUCCAGUAUUUAAUUCUACCACCUCAAACUAGUAUUUAAAUUAUUGACCCUUGCAUAAUAAAAGUCAAAGUUGACCAUGCCAGAAUUUGAACCCA
Molecule: long non-coding RNA, 469 nt
Organism: Octopus sinensis (East Asian common octopus)
Lineage: Eukaryota; Metazoa; Mollusca; Cephalopoda; Octopoda; Octopodidae
Exons: 2
Source: RefSeq, a predicted model, not a curated record